AACAUGUCUUCUUGAAAUAUAUAGGAAGUCUGACCUGCCCAGUGAUUUAAUUUAACGGCCGCGGUAUAUUGACCGUGCAAAGGUAGCAUAAUCAUUAGUCUUUUAAUAGGGGACUGGUAUGAAUGGUUCGACGAAAUAUUAACUGUCUCAGAUUAAUAUAUUAUAAUUUGAUUUUUGAGUCAAAAAGCUUAAAUUUUAUUGAAGGACGAGAAGACCCUAUAGAGCUUUAUAAUUGAUGUUAAUAAUUAUUUUAAUUUAUUUUUUAUUUUUUUACAUUAAUUUUUUUGUUGGGGUGACAACAAAUAUAAGAAUAACUUUUUUAUUUAUAUUACAUUUAUACAUGGUUAUUAGAUCCAUUAUUAUUGAUUAUUAGAUUAAGUUACCUUAGGGAUAACAGCGUAAUCUUCCUUCAGAGUUCAUAUUUACAGGGAGGGUUGCGACCUCGAUGUUGGAUUAAGAUUAUAAUUAGGUGUAGCAGCUUAAUCUAUAGGCCUGUUCGACCUUUAAAUUCUUACAUG
This 518-nucleotide ribosomal RNA is filed under the name Hetaerina pilula. Its description in RNAcentral is "partial 16S ribosomal RNA". It matches the Rfam family "Bacterial large subunit ribosomal RNA", at positions 1812 to 2602 of the family's 2925-position model. Lineage: Eukaryota; Metazoa; Arthropoda; Insecta; Odonata; Calopterygidae. The record is from RNAcentral.